AUUUACUUUGAAUUGAUUUAUGCAUUUGAAUAUGAUCAAUAUUUACCAAAAAUGCAAUAGCAAUUACUACACGACUUCAGGAUCGAGGAGAAGGUCUAAUCACACUUCCCAAUGAAUCCGUUGCUAAUUCGAUUCCCCGGCAACGCCAGUUAUUCCCCGGAAGAAAGUGGCAUCACUAGACUGGUCAUCUCUUCUACCCCCAGCCGGGCUCUGUUCAAUAUCUCUGCCAUCAAAUAAAAGUCAAAUACCCCUAGCUAAGGAAGGGUCACCAAAACGAAU
Molecule: long non-coding RNA, 279 nt
Filed under: Lathyrus oleraceus (garden pea)
Lineage: Eukaryota; Viridiplantae; Streptophyta; Magnoliopsida; Fabales; Fabaceae
Description: Pisum sativum (pea) long non-coding RNA (PSAT_LNC015237)
Source: RNAcentral